UGGGUACUGAAGUAACGCUUUCCUCAUAUUUAUUGUGGCCACAUAAACUAUAGAUUGUCUCUCCAAAAUAUGUUUCCUGACUUUGAGACUCUAUUUAACUUUUUCCCAGUUUAAUUUUGGUACUAUGUAUAAAUAAGCUGCUUUCGAUGUAAUAGUCUAAAAUACAGCCCUUAUUUAUGACACAUUCACACUUCCAGCUUUUGCAUUAUUUUUUGUUAUAGUAUGUGAUUCAGGAAGGUUAGUUAUGGCUAAAGCAGUACCAAUACAUCCGCUAAAACUAAC
Molecule: non-coding RNA, 282 nt
Organism: Pelobates cultripes (western spadefoot toad)
Lineage: Eukaryota; Metazoa; Chordata; Amphibia; Anura; Pelobatidae
Source: the annotation of a GenBank genome assembly